This is a long non-coding RNA of Spinacia oleracea (spinach), 944 nucleotides long. RefSeq lists it as uncharacterized. The record is from RefSeq and is a predicted model, not a curated record. NCBI's taxonomy places the organism in Eukaryota, Viridiplantae, Streptophyta, Magnoliopsida, Caryophyllales, Amaranthaceae. The transcript is spliced from 3 exons.
GAGCGUUGGACUUCCAUAAACUUUCUCUUUUAUCUCUUCUCGUGCUUCACUCUCCUCAGGAACUCCUUUUGUACUCUCCUCCAUUUUUCCUCUCCUUCAUGAUUCUCUCUCCUCACCGCUACCACUCCUCACCUGCUGCAACCACUGCACCGCCACCAUCUCCACGCUUCCAUCAUUUAUGCGUCGUCUCUUCUGCUUCAAUUUGGAGGAAUUAAAGAAAUUGUGAAAAGGUUUUCGCAAAAUCCACCGCUCCGCCACCACCCCGCCGACCUCCACCACUUUGACUACUACCACUCCGCCGACCGCCACCAUAUAUGCGCCCUCUUCUCUGGAUAUUUUCUGUGACUGCAAUAUGCUUCUGGAUGAGCUUUUUUCUCCAAGUGUGAUGCGGCGACUUAAAGUGUCACUAUUCAUGAAUAUGAGAAACCCUGUAAAGCUCUACUUCAACUGAUAAAAUUUGUGCAGAAAAAGUGCAGCCGUCUUGGACAAAUUAGUUAUUGUCUGCAACAAGAAGGAUGAAAUUUAUUCAGCAGAGGAAAACGAGUUCAUUUCACAGUUAGCAGGCUUUCCAAGAACCUUGCAGAAGGCAAAGGUUGUUUUUAGUAACUCAUAGCAAGGUGCGUAGGUGCAUCGUGGGUGUUUAUAAUUACUCCGUAGAUGAUAUCUUUUGUUUAGGAGAUAGGACCCCUGUUGCAAAAUUCAGUGUUGCUGCUACUGGUAGAGGCCUAGUGUUAAAAUCAGAGAUUGCUAGGAAAAUGGUUCAGUUGUAGUGAUUUUGGAUGUGGCAUUAGGUGCUGCUCUUUGAUAUUAUAGCAACUUGUUUGGUAAGUAGUAAAAGUAAUGAGUUUUAUGUAAUUUUGCAGAACUAGUUUCAUUAUUUCUCCCAGUUAUGUAUUUCCCUUUCUGCAUAGAUUUUCUAUAAUUCAAGGCAGCAUUAGAUUUUA